GGUCGCCUGCGUACCACAGGGCACAGAGAGGCAAACCGUUCACGCUCACACCCAUGGACAUUUAGAGUACUAAAUUAACCUCCUCCCCGGCAGGAAACCUGAGUGCCUAGUAUAAAGCCACACAAGCACGGUGAAAAGUUUCCGACCGAUAUUCCGCAGGGGUCUCAAAAUGAUGCAGGAGAGGCACGACGGAAUAAAUAUGGACCUGGUGGUUUCAUCAAAGCCAGGGAGUAGACCCAUAACAUCCAAAAAUCUGAAGUUCUUGAAAAAGCUGAAGAUUUCGCUUCCCAGUUUUGGGAAGUUCAGACCCAGAGUGGACCAGUGCUGCCACCAGUGCACGCCAGAUAGUCUGCGCAAAAAGUUGGAUCACAACUUGACUCUAGGUUUCCGUAACAUUCUUAGUGUCAACGAAAGUCAGACGAGGUACCGGGGAUGGCUGGUGCGGAGAGUUUGCUGUGUUCUUUUUGUGAGAGGCUGCAAGGUUCACCCGAGCCCUGCUGACAACAGAGUGCAGAGGGUCUGUGAGAGCAGCAGGGUCAGGAAGGCCCUUGCUGUUGGGCAUAACACAUCUGAGAAAGGUGACGAUCAAGGGCAGAUCAGCCACCUCUCAUUCUUCCUCCCCCUCGUUGACACAUGCAUCUGGCCUGGACUCUUGAGAUUCGUGUGUUGGGUGAUGCUGAAGACAUUCGCAUCUGCAUUUGGCACUGUUGAAAUCAACCUCAACCAUCUUUUGGCUCUGCACAGAGCUUCACAAGAGGGCUGUCUCCUGGUCUAUGUGUACAUGCGUCAGAGCGUUUGGGACUGGGCUCUCAUCCCUCUGGUGCUCUUCUGUCAUAACCUGCGAGUGCCUUACACAGUUUGCCCACUCCAAAUUAACAGCCCCGUCCUGAGGUCGGCUCUUCAGAGGCUCGGCGUUAUUCUUUUGCCAAAAUCUGCUGCAUGUGAAGAGGAAGCUGAGAGGAACAGGUUGUACUCACCUGUUAUGACCUCUCUGCUACAGGAGCUGCUACAUGAAGGCCAGGCCAUUAGCAUCGGCGUGUCAGGAGAGUCUGGUGAAGGUGGUCAGUGGGUGGCUCGCAUCAGGCAGCUCAUCCAAGAGGGCUCUGUGGCUGAUGUCAGUCUGGUACCUGUGGGCGUGUCUUACGACUGCGUCCCUGCCAAGAACUCCCAGGUGGGGUUUAUAGCUCUCUGCCGUUGGAUGCUGUCUUCUCUCUGGACCAGACCAGGAGGAAAUGUUAGGAUCAACUUCAUGAGGCCGUUUUCCCUGAAGGAGAUGUGUGAGUCUGGAAGAUGUAAAACACGCGAUUGUGUCCCACUACAGGAUCUGUUACUUCCAGUGAUUCUCAAUGACAGGGAACUGAAGGGGACGUCAAAAUACCCGGUGCUGAUAAGUACUCAGGAGCUUCAAGCUGUCAGCAUUCGUGGGCAGAGGAAGACAGCCUGGCUACUGCCCUCUAGUUAUGCAUCCGAGCUUCAGGAGAUAAAAGAGAGAGAGAUGACGAUUGCCAUCAUCAUCCACCUCAUCUUUUCAACAACCUCCUGUAUGGCUGUGAUGUCCACCAGUCUGCUGUCCUGCCUGCUGCUGCACAGACACCGCAAGGGUGUGAGAGCAUCUGUCUUGUGUCGGGACAUGGCUUGGCUCACGGAAGAAAUCCUGUUCAGAAACAGAGAUGUUGGCUUUUAUGGGAGUUUAGAGGACGUUUUCUAUCACUCCCUCUCUCUGCUCUCCCAACAUGUCAUCAUAGCUGCUGUGCCCUCAAGAGCUGAUCCUGCAAUUGCCCCUCGUGCAACUCCGACAGCCACGCUUCACCUCACCCUCCAUGCCCAACUUGUCACGCGUGCCUUCAUAUUGGAGUCUGUUGGCGCGUGCGCCGUGUCUGCCAUGCUGUGCGAGGUGGCCUGCAGUGGUGUCAGCAGGGUCAGGAAGUGCGGUGUGAUGGCAGAGGAGGUCGAAGGUGACAUGGAGUUUGAUGUGCUGCUCUGCCAGGACAAGCUGACUGAAAGAGCACAGCUUCUCUGUCAUCUCUUGCCUCCAGGCUUUGUACCGCCCUGUCAGUCCUCAGUGGAUUUCCCUCGGGAUGCAGUACACAGUCUUGUCAAUUGUGGAAUCCUGAUCAUGGAAGAAGUGCCCAGGGACCAUCCUCUCUGUGAUUUCCACAAGAGAAAGGGCACUUUCAACUGGACUGCUGUUGAUGACAUGAAUGACAGCGACUCAGACGAUGAGGAACCGGACAAGCGCUCUUACAAGGUACAGACGGGCUCUGCUGACUUCCCUCAGGCUUCCUCACGCAGUGCAGAGACACAUCAAAGGUUAUAGGACAAGGAAAUUCGCCACACUGACCCAAACCCCGGGAUCAAAAAUGGCUCCUUAGUUGACUGCCUGCAAGGCAUGUGCCGUACUUCCCAAGAGGGUGAGAAGGAAUCAUUGAAGUAUCCUCAUCUCCAUAACAAAAGGUGUCUUCAUGAUAACUAUUUCGAAUUGAAUACCAAUAAGACAUGUAUGUCUGAAGCCAUGACUUCAUAUUUAAACCUUGGUCACGACAGCACUCAUUCAUCAGUGACACAAGGGCUACUCCACUACAACAGCGGACACAGGUUUAUGAAGGUACCUAUACUAGAGAAACUUUAAGCAGACAGUGAGUGGAGAUGGAGACCACAAUGUCAGAAAGAGAUGUCAACCAGUUCUUUCAUCGGCAAGGUGGAUCUGUUAGUGGGUCGUGUAAUGGAAAGUUCUGGAACUAGCUUGUUGUCCAGAGCUGACUUUCUGAAGGUAAGUCUGAAUUUAUUCAUUUCACUGUUGUUUAUUCAUUUCCCCAAAAAAACAUUUAGCCUCGCCACGUGUUCUGAACAGAUGCAGCACGAGCAGCAGCAGCAGCCAUAUGCUGUUAUUAUUUCAUUUAUUUUAAUUGCAUACAUAAUGAUACAAGGCUGUUAGUCAUUCAUAUUUGAUAAUGUUUUUUGCUUACAUUGUUUGAUUUUUCAGGUAAUUAAUCUUCAGAGGAUCUCAUGUUCAAUUAUUCAAAGAAUGAGAUUCGUUUUGGAAUAUAGAUUGAGUCUUGCAGAAAAUAAUUUGAUUCAAAUGAAUAUCAUUGUAUUCUUGUGCUUCCCUUAUGAACGUUGUCUACUGCUGUCAUGUUUUUCAAUUCACAAAUUUGGGUGGGUUUGUCAACAGAAUCAUUCAAAUACAUACUUUUAUGUAGAAUAAUAAUGAAAAUUUCCGGUCGGCUCGGAGUCCCAAAAUCUCUGAUGGCACCCCUGCAUAGCAGGACCAUGAUAUCAGCUUACAAAACUUCAUCUAAAACAAUAGCAGUUCUAUAAUAAGAGGUUAUGUUGCUUUCUUAUUGUGUGUUAGUGUGGCAGAGCCCCACUGCCAUUGGCUGGCAUGAUGAUCAAUUGAGAUGGAGCUUGCAAUAUUUGGACAGUGCUCAUCAAAAUACAAUGAAACCUUUUUUUUUUUUUACUACAGUGAUGCUCAGUUGUCACAAUUUGCAUCAAAUGAAAAUUGAAUCAUAGCUGCGGAAGUAACAGCCAUCUCAAAACUUGCCCAGAAAAGAGUAUGUUCCCUUGUUCCAACAGACAUGAUAUUUUUAGGGCUGUUGAGCCUUCUUAAGAGAGUAUACCACCUAUUUUAUCAUCUUUAUUUCAUAAGAUCAGGACCAUGGAGCCAACUGAUGACCGACUCUUAUCUCUACAGCAUCAGACCCUUCAUCAAGUCAUUGUUUGCAGGACGACUAAUAUUGCAGUGACUUCCUCCACUAUAGUGCUUGUUUACAGAGUCGAUACCUCUAGAUAAGACAACCG
RNA transcript from Synchiropus splendidus (mandarinfish), 3801 nucleotides. It is a transcript of the gene named glycerol-3-phosphate acyltransferase 2, mitochondrial, with no coding region annotated. Lineage: Eukaryota; Metazoa; Chordata; Actinopteri; Syngnathiformes; Callionymidae. The record is from RefSeq and is a predicted model, not a curated record. The transcript is spliced from 21 exons.